GGGGCGAUGGCGGAACCGGCAGACGCAGUGGACUUAAAAUCCACCGGUGGCAACACCUUGUGGGUUCGACUCCCACUCGCCCCA
This 84-nucleotide transfer RNA is filed under the name Anaerolinea thermophila UNI-1. RNAcentral describes it as "tRNA-Leu (TAA) (tRNA-Leu-TAA-1-1)". It matches the Rfam family "tRNA". From Rfam's summary of the family: Transfer RNA (tRNA) molecules are approximately 80 nucleotides in length. Lineage: Bacteria; Bacillati; Chloroflexota; Anaerolineae; Anaerolineales; Anaerolineaceae. RNAcentral also lists the same sequence under 1 other name. The record is from Rfam by way of RNAcentral.